Molecule: long non-coding RNA, 1570 nt
Organism: Homo sapiens (human)
Lineage: Eukaryota; Metazoa; Chordata; Mammalia; Primates; Hominidae
Gene: ZNF37BP
Product: zinc finger protein 37B, pseudogene
Source: Ensembl
AGGUUUGUUUUUCUCCGGUACAGCCUGGUAGGGAGGGCUCCCGGCAUCUCCCUGCUUCGGGGCAGAGGAUGCCGGGGGUAGAGUACGGGAGGGCUGGAGCGAGGGUGGACUGGAGGUGCCGCUUGUCCUGGAGGUGGGAGAGAGGGAGCGGCUUUGCCGCCUGGCCUGCGUCCUAAUCCUGUCCUGGUUCUUCUGCUCCCGAAGGGAACGUAGGUCCCGCGCCUGUGAUAAGUAAGGUUGGAUUUUCUCUUCCCUGAGGUGAAGGAUGCCCGGAGGCCUCGGCAGGACCGUGCGGAAACGGGCCUUCUGCCCAAAAGAUGCUGCUUCUCUCCUUAUUCUUUCCCCUCAGAAUCUCGCUGUCUCCUUCCAACCACCUGUGGUCGGCAUCCCCGCGUUGUCACUGCGACGCAGAGGCGAGCGAGGUCGCAGCUUCAUGGCCUGAUGCCUUCAGGAAGUAUUUUGAAGUCAUCGUGGCUGUGGAUUGGGGGAUUUCUUGUUUCCACUGACCUGUGAGGCCGCGCACGUGGAGGGAGGCACCCCGGGUCCUCCGGCACUGUCCGGCCUCGCCUGUGUCCCUAGUAGCAGUGGGCAUUUCCAGACGGUGCAGCUUGUGGCUAAAGUGACAGGAAGAUGUAGGAGCUUUCAGUCUUGGAUGAGGAUUCGAACUGAAGGGCUUAGGCCCAGCUGUCUUGGAGCAAAACAUCUGUUGUGGGAUGUGGCGGCAGAGGAGGGCAAGGCCGAAGGAGCAGACAGCACCGCUUCUUGGGGAGUUGUGAAGGCAUCAUGCGGAGGGCCGAGCUUAGCAGCCAAGUGGAGGACAGCACCCUCCAUGCCUGGAUUCGUUACUCGCUCGUUCUCGAUGUUGAGCUGCUGGCAUAUUGCAGCACAACUAGAGAUGUACGGAUGCCCCCAUCUUGAUCUUACAGAAUCAGAGGUGCAGCCGCAAGAAAGGUCUCUACACCCUCUCGGUUUUCUCUGCUCUGCCAACACUAGUGGAAUAUGAUCACAUCCCAGGGAUCAGUGUCAUUUAGGGAUGUGACUAUGGGCUUCACUCAAGAGGAGUGGCAUCAUCUGGACCCUGCUCAGAGGACCCUGUAGAGGAAUGUGAUGCUGGAGAACUACAGCCACCUUGUCUCAGUAGGGUAUUGCAUUCCUAAACCAGAAGUGAUCCUCAAAUUGGAGACAGGCAAGGAGCCAUGGAUAUUAGAGGAAAAAUUUCGAAGCCAGAGUCAUCUGGGUGAGUUAGUGCCAGAUGGAAUUUAAAGAAUUAAUUAAUACCAGUAGAAACUAUUCAAGAAUGAAGUUCAAUGAGUUUAACAAAGGUGGAAAAUGUUUCUGUGAUGAAAGCAUGAAAUAAUUCAUUUUGAAGAGGAACCUUCUGAAUAUAAUAACAAUGGGAACAGCUUCUGGCUGAAUGAAGACCUCAUUUGGCAUCAGAAGAUUAAAAAUUGGGAGCAACCUUUUGAAUACAAUGAAUGUGGGAAAGCUUUCCCUGAGAAUUCACUCUUCCUUGUACAUAAGAGAGCUUACACAGGACAGAAAACAUGCAAAUAUACUGAACAUGGGAAAA